RNAcentral lists this ribosomal RNA (909 nucleotides) under uncultured bacterium. RNAcentral's name for it is "bacterial SSU rRNA". It matches the Rfam family "Bacterial small subunit ribosomal RNA", at positions 8 to 881 of the family's 1533-position model. The record is from RNAcentral.
AGAGUUUGAUCCUGGCUCAGGACGAACGCUGGCGGCGUGCCUAAUACAUGCAAGUCGAACGAACUCUGGUAUUGAUUGGUGCUUGCAUCAUGAUUUACAUUUGAGUGAGUGGCGAACUGGUGAGUAACACGUGGGAAACCUGCCCAGAAGCGGGGGAUAACACCUGGAAACAGAUGCUAAUACCGCAUAACAACUUGGACCGCAUGGUCCGAGCUUGAAAGAUGGCUUCGGCUAUCACUUUUGGAUGGUCCCGCGGCGUAUUAGCUAGAUGGUGGGGUAACGGCUCACCAUGGCAAUGAUACGUAGCCGACCUGAGAGGGUAAUCGGCCACAUUGGGACUGAGACACGGCCCAAACUCCUACGGGAGGCAGCAGUAGGGAAUCUUCCACAAUGGACGAAAGUCUGAUGGAGCAACGCCGCGUGAGUGAAGAAGGGUUUCGGCUCGUAAAACUCUGUUGUUAAAGAAGAACAUAUCUGAGAGUAACUGUUCAGGUAUUGACGGUAUUUAACCAGAAAGCCACGGCUAACUACGUGCCAGCAGCCGCGGUAAUACGUAGGUGGCAAGCGUUGUCCGGAUUUAUUGGGCGUAAAGCGAGCGCAGGCGGUUUUUUAAGUCUGAUGUGAAAGCCUUCGGCUCAACCGAAGAAGUGCAUCGGAAACUGGGAAACUUGAGUGCAGAAGAGGACAGUGGAACUCCAUGUGUAGCGGUGAAAUGCGUAGAUAUAUGGAAGAACACCAGUGGCGAAGGCGGCUGUCUGGUCUGUAACUGACGCUGAGGCUCGAAAGUAUGGGUAGCAAACAGGAUUAGAUACCCUGGUAGUCCAUACCGUAAACGAUGAAUGCUAAGUGUUGGAGGGUUUCCGCCCUUCAGUGCUGCAGCUAACGCAUUAAGCAUUCCGCCUGGGGAGU